RNAcentral lists this long non-coding RNA (211 nucleotides) under Carica papaya (papaya). Its description in RNAcentral is "long non-coding RNA (CPAP_LNC000650)". The record is from RNAcentral. Lineage: Eukaryota; Viridiplantae; Streptophyta; Magnoliopsida; Brassicales; Caricaceae.
ACCUCUCACAUAUAACAACCUAAAAAAGUUUUAUAUGUUUUUUCUUUUCUAGUUCUAGUACAAGGCCAUCAUGUCCAGAUUUAACAAAUACAAAACAAAUCAACAUAAUGCAACACAAUAGUACCAUGCUUUUAAAAUUAGACCAAAUAACAAACAAUAAUAUGCAUAAUCAUAAUUUAGUUAUUUUAUCUAAAAAGGCACUUAAAGGUAU